RNAcentral lists this ribosomal RNA (497 nucleotides) under uncultured bacterium. Its description in RNAcentral is "partial 16S ribosomal RNA". It matches the Rfam family "Bacterial small subunit ribosomal RNA", at positions 28 to 507 of the family's 1533-position model. The record is from RNAcentral.
GAUGAACGCUGGCGGCGUGCCUAAUACAUGCAAGUCGAGCGAACAGACGAGGAGCUUGCUCCUCUGACGUUAGCGGCGGACGGGUGAGUAACACGUGGAUAACCUAUCUAUAAGACUGGGAUAACUUCGGGAAACCGGAGCUAAUACCGGAUAAUAUAUUGAACCGCAUGGUCCAAUAGUGAAAGACGGUUUUGCUGUCACUUAUAGAUGGAUCCGCGCCGCAUUAGCUAGUUGGUAAGGUAACGGCUUACCAAGGCAACGAUGCGUAGCCGACCUGAGAGGGUGAUCGGCCACACUGGAACUGAGACACGGUCCAGACUCCUACGGGAGGCAGCAGUAGGGAAUCUUCCGCAAUGGGCGAAAGCUUGACGGAGCAACGCCGCGUGAGUGAUGAAGGUCUUCGGAUCGUAAAACUCUGUUAUUAGGGAAGAACAAAUGUGUAAGUAACUAUGCACGUCUUGACGGUACCUAAUCAGAAAGCCACGGCUAACUACGUG